UAUUGCACAAUGGGGGAAACCCUGAUGCAGCGACGCCGCGUGAGUGAAGAAGUAUUUCGGUAUGUAAAGCUCUAUCAGCAGGGAAGAAAAUGACGGUACCUGACUAAGAAGCCCCGGCUAACUACGUUCCAGCAGCCGCGGUGAUACGUAGGAGGCAAGCGUUAUCCGGAAUGACUGGGCGUAAAGGGUGCGUAGGUGGUUUGACAAGUUGGUAGCGUAACUCCGAGGCUUAACCUCGGCACUACUACCAAAACUGUUGGACUCGAGUGCAGGAGGGGCAAAUGGAAUUCCUAGUGUAGCGGUGGAAUGCGUAGAUAUUAGGAGGAACACCAGUGGCGAAGGCGAUUUGCUGGACUGUAACUGACACUGAGGCACGAAAGCGUGGGGAGCAAACAGG
RNAcentral lists this ribosomal RNA (397 nucleotides) under uncultured bacterium. RNAcentral's name for it is "bacterial SSU rRNA". It matches the Rfam family "Bacterial small subunit ribosomal RNA", at positions 362 to 776 of the family's 1533-position model. The record is from RNAcentral.